This 545-nucleotide ribosomal RNA is filed under the name uncultured bacterium. RNAcentral's name for it is "bacterial SSU rRNA". It matches the Rfam family "Bacterial small subunit ribosomal RNA", at positions 777 to 1319 of the family's 1533-position model. The record is from RNAcentral.
AAUAGAUACCCUGGUAGUCCACGCCGUAAACGAUGAGUGCUAAGUGUUGGGGGGUUUCCGCCCCUCCAGUGCUGCAGCUAACGCAUUAAGCACUCCGCCUGGGGAGUACGGUCGCAAGACUGAAACUCAAAGGAAUUGACGGGGGCCCGCACAAGCGGUGGAGCAUGUGGUUUAAUUCGAAGCAACGCGAAGAACCUUACCAGGUCUUGACAUCCCGGUGACCACUAUGGAGACAUAGUUUCCCCUUCGGGGGCAACGGUGACAGGUGGUGCAUGGUUGUCGUCAGCUCGUGUCGUGAGAUGUUGGGUUAAGUCCCGCAACGAGCGCAACCCUUAUUCUUAGUUGCCAUCAUUCAGUUGGGCACUCUAAGGAGACUGCCGGUGAUAAACCGGAGGAAGGUGGGGAUGACGUCAAAUCAUCAUGCCCCUUAUGACCUGGGCUACACACGUGCUACAAUGGACGGUACAAACGGUUGCCAACCCGCGAGGGGGANCUAAUCCGAUAAAACCGUUCUCAGUUCGGAUUGUAGGCUGCAACUCGCCUAC